AUCACUUGGGAAAUUACAAAGGUUUUAGAAGCUCUGGGCCAGGAACCCAGGAUGAAGACCCAGUACAGGUUGAGUAUCCCUUAUCCAAAAUGCUUGAGACCAGAAGUCUUUUGGAUUUCAGAUUGUUUUGGAUUUUGGAAUAUUUGCAUUAUACUGGUUGGGCUGCCCUAAUCCAAAAACAUGAAACCUGAAAUCCUCCAAUGAGCAUUUCCUUUGAGCAUCAUGUUGGUGCUAAAAAAGUUUCAGAUUUUGGAGCACUUUGGAUUUUGAAUUUUCAGAUUAAGGAUACUCAACAUCUAUGUAUUUCUUGUUAUAGCUCAUAUCACAGCUAUAAGUUUAAAAGCUUAAAGCACUGUGUGAGUGCUGGGGAACCAAUCACCCCUGACGUGACUGAAAAAUGGAGAAACAAGACGGGCCUGGAUAUCUACGAAGGAUAUGGACAGACUGAAACGGUGCUAAUCUGUGGAAAUUUUAAGGGAAUGAAAAUUAAACCUGGCUCAAUGGGAAAACCUUCUCCUGCUUUCAAU
Molecule: small RNA, 527 nt
Filed under: Pan troglodytes (chimpanzee)
Lineage: Eukaryota; Metazoa; Chordata; Mammalia; Primates; Hominidae
Description: processed transcript
Source: RNAcentral